UAGGGAAUCUUCCACAAUGGGCGCAAGCCUGAUGGAGCAACACCGCGUGAGUGAAGAAGGGUUUCGGCUCGUAAAACUCUGUUGUUGGAGAAGAACGUGCGUAAGAGUAACUGUUUACGCAGUGACGGUAUCCAACCAGAAAGUCACGGCUAACUACGUGCCAGCAGCCGCGGUAAUACGUAGGUGGCAAGCGUUAUCCGGAUUUAUUGGGCGUAAAGCGAGCGCAGGCGGUUGCUUAGGUCUGAUGUGAAAGCCUUCGGCUUAACCGAAGAAGUGCAUCGGAAACCGGGCGACUUGAGUGCAGAAGAGGACAGUGGAACUCCAUGUGUAGCGGUGGAAUGCGUAGAUAUAUGGAAGAACACCAGUGGCGAAGGCGGCUGUCUGGUCUGCAACUGACGCUGAGGCUCGAAAGCAUGGGUAGCGAACAGGAUUAGAUACCCUGGUAGUCCAUGCCGCAAACGAUGAGUGCUAGGUGUUGGAGGGUUUCCGCCCUUCAGUGCCGAAGCUAACGCAUUAAGCACUCCGCCUGGGGAGUACGACCGCAAGGUU
This 549-nucleotide ribosomal RNA is filed under the name uncultured bacterium. RNAcentral describes it as "bacterial SSU rRNA". It matches the Rfam family "Bacterial small subunit ribosomal RNA", at positions 355 to 895 of the family's 1533-position model. The record is from RNAcentral.